ACAUGGCAGGAAUCCCGAAGAGAUUGGGAGUGCUCGAAGAGAACCUGCACACAGGUGCUGCAUGGCUGUCGUCAGCUCGUGUCGUGAGAUGUUGGGUUAAGUCCCGCAACGAGCGCAACCCUUGCCAUUAGUUGCUACGAAGGGCACUCUAAUGGGACUGCCGGUGACAAACCGGAGGAAGGUGGGGAUGACGUCAAGUCCUCAUGGCCCUUAUAGGUGGGGCUACACACGUCAUACAAUGGCCGGUACAGAGGGUAGCCAACCCGCGAGGGGGAGCCAAUCCCACAAAGCCGGUCGUAGUCCGGAUCGCAGUCUGCAACUCGACUGCGUGAAGUCGGAAUCGCUAGUAAUCGUGGAUCAGCAUGUCACGGUGAAUACGUUCCCGGGUCCU
This 391-nucleotide ribosomal RNA is filed under the name uncultured Allobrachymonas sp. RNAcentral's name for it is "bacterial SSU rRNA". It matches the Rfam family "Bacterial small subunit ribosomal RNA", at positions 984 to 1382 of the family's 1533-position model. The record is from RNAcentral. Lineage: Bacteria; Pseudomonadati; Pseudomonadota; Betaproteobacteria; Burkholderiales; Comamonadaceae.